CCCAUCCCGAACUCGGAAGUGAAACGCACAUGCGCCGAUGGUAGUGUGGCUUAAGCCAUGCAAGAGUAGGUCAUCGCUGGGC
Molecule: ribosomal RNA, 82 nt
Organism: Lysobacter sp. A03
Lineage: Bacteria; Pseudomonadati; Pseudomonadota; Gammaproteobacteria; Lysobacterales; Lysobacteraceae
Source: Rfam